This 859-nucleotide long non-coding RNA is filed under the name Homo sapiens (human). RNAcentral's name for it is "HSALNT0352413". Lineage: Eukaryota; Metazoa; Chordata; Mammalia; Primates; Hominidae. The record is from RNAcentral.
CGCAGGCGCAGAGCGGCCCACAGCGCCGGCGCAGGCGCAGAGCGGCCCACAGCGCCGGCGCAGGCGCAGAGAGGCCCACAGCGCCGGCGCAGGCGCAGAGAGGCAGAAGGCCCAUGAGGGGAAGGUGAGACACCUGGGGCAAAGAAAAAAAAAAAUGCGCCGCGAAGCAGUGUCUGGGUCAUCCACGGACGAAAGUUUUUUUCCCAUCAGCCCUUGCGCUGGGCCCCAGGGACCCUGGCAUCCCUGGUUCGCGCCCAUGGUGCGCCUCGGGCGACUAGGGGUACCCCAACUCGGACAGAAGCCCCAUGAGUGGAAGUUGAAGUUUGUGGGAAGAGAGGUGCAGUGGCUUCUAUGUUUUGGGUUGAUGCUGAAUUAGGGAGUGAUAUUUACCUUGAUGGUAUCAUAACUAUUGUGGAUUCAAAAUAUGGAUUAAAAGUGAAAUACCACUAAAGGCAGAAGAGAAUGAAAUCAUCCCACCCACUGACCCGUUCCCAAUCUGAGCAUAUGGAUAGGGCCCAAAGCACAUUUAACAGAAGAGAAACCUGAUGGCCUUAUCAAUGAAGCUACUAGGCAAGUUGCUUUGGCAGAUAUCGUUCUCAUUAAUAAAACAGACUUGGUUCCAGAAGAAGAUGUAAAGAAAUUAAGAACAACAAUUAGAUCCAUAAAUGGACUAGGACAAAUCUUAGAAACACAAAGAUCAAGAGUUGAUCUCUCUAAUGUAUUAGAUCUUCAUGCCUUUGAUAGUCUCUCUGGAAUAAGUUUGCAGAAAAAACUUCAGCAUGUGCCAGGAACACAACCUCACCUUGAUCAGGUAAAGAAAAAAAAUCUAAAUCUAAAAUUCCUAAUCAAUGUUUUUAAA